RNAcentral lists this transfer RNA (76 nucleotides) under Verrucomicrobia bacterium Tous-C9LFEB. RNAcentral's name for it is "tRNA-Phe". It matches the Rfam family "tRNA". Rfam says of the family: Transfer RNA (tRNA) molecules are approximately 80 nucleotides in length. Their secondary structure includes four short double-helical elements and three loops (D, anti-codon, and T loops). Lineage: Bacteria; Pseudomonadati; Verrucomicrobiota. The record is from RNAcentral.
GGCUGGGUAGCUCAGUCGGUAGAGCAGCGGACUGAAAAUCCGCGUGUCGCCGGUUCGAUCCCGGCCCCAGCCACCA